RNAcentral lists this long non-coding RNA (709 nucleotides) under Anas platyrhynchos platyrhynchos (common mallard). Its description in RNAcentral is "lncRNA (ENSAPLG00000017693.1)". The record is from RNAcentral. Lineage: Eukaryota; Metazoa; Chordata; Aves; Anseriformes; Anatidae.
GGGAUUUGUAAUGAUCACUUGGAAAAGUUUUGCAUUUUAUCUUUAGAUAUUUUUGUGUGACUAAUCAUUUUUUGUUAAGCUUAUAGUUACCAAUUCCUAGCAUAGCAUGAAGUGAUACACAGAAAAGAACAAAGUAAAAAAUGAAUGUAAAAGAACUUGGAUUAUUAAUAAUGCAGGAAAAUAUAGUGAUAAUGACUCAUAUCUCCCAAAGGUAGAACUCUUUUGGCAGUGAACAGUUGUUGUCAGAAUACAUUGACAUAAUAGCGAACACAUUAUAGAGGGAUUGAACAAUAAUCUGAGAUCAGUGUAAUUCAAGAACAUUAUUCAGUUUUUGUAUAUUUCCAAAACAUUUGUUUCUGUACAGUCUGUGACUCUAAAUAUUUUUUUUGCAGUUGAAAGGGAAGUUGAAUAUGCCUGAUUCAGGGCUGGCACUGGAAGAAGGUGUUCUUUGGCUUUUCCAAGAUCACCAAAAAGCAAUCUUAAUACUUGUAGUAGUGGCAGAUUGCUUGCACUUCACAGCUGAGGACUGCAAGUUCCUUUCUCUUGGAAAUGGAGAAGUAGGAUUGGAGCCACAAGGACAGAUUCAGAGGAGAGAACAGAGAAAGGGAACUACAGAAGCCCACAGAGCUCUCCCACAGGAUGAGUGGGACAAAUAAGAGGCACAUCAUUGUCUGUCUGUAAAUAAAUGAUUGAAGGUCACCGGGGAUCA